CUCACACUGGCUCUAGAGCCAACAUUUCACCCAGUAUGAGCAAAAUAUUAAAGAGGAACUGAUUAGAAAGGAGAAGCCCUGGUAACCAGUGACCAUGGAAAGGAAAACAGGAAGAGUACAUGAGAUCUUAAUGAGGCUUUAGUUUAGCAACAUGUUUUAUUCUCUUAGGGACUGAUGCAGUGUAAGAGUGAUUCCUCAACUCUGAAUUUAUCUGCUUUAUUGGUUUUGUGUCACUGCUGUAAUUUUUUUGAUUUUUUUUUUUUUUUUUUUAAGUAGUGAUACCAUAAGAGGCCUCUAAAGGUAGAAACAUACAGCAAGUAAACUCUUCUGCAUUUAUUUUACUUUGCAAGUCAGGCUCCGAGGCUUAAAUCUGGUGUUUCAAGGUGCACUUGGAGGCUUGUUGUGGCUUCAUAAAUGGCCAUUAAGUGGGAAUGGGAAUGGGAGAAUUUUGUCCUCAAGGCUCAUUUUUGAUGUCCCUCUGAUCUGAGAUUAUUACCACAGUAUGUUGCAUCAGUCAUGCUGGAUAUGCAGUAAAUGACCUCGACUGUUAGGAAACCAUUAAUCAACAAAUCAUCAACAAGAUAAAACUCAGUGUCUUUUCUUGUACUUUUGGACAUGAAGGACAGUGCCUGGUUAUUCCAGAGACACUAUAAUCGGAAGAAAAAUGCUGCCGACUUCCUGGUGAGUUAGUGCUGUUUUGUUUUCGUGGUGCCACAUUUUCCUGGUGAAGAUGUGAAAUCCUGUGAGCUGAUAUGAGAGAAUGUUUUCCUGGCUGCUCACCAGUUACCAAGGAAAUUCAGAGGCUGGAAUUUCUUGAUUUUAUGGAUGUGAACAAGUUUUUUGGGAGAGCUUGCCUGGGGCCUCAAAUUGAAGGGAAAUGCAAGAGCAGCUUUGCUUGGAAAAGUGAUUUUUAAGCAUGAAAAAGUGUCAAGAAACAGUGUAUUAUGUGCUUCUGCUGAAGCAGUCAGGGGUUAUUGUCUCUCCCAUUCUCAAGAAGUGCAAGUGGACAAGGGAAGCAUAUUUUAUCAUCCUGGAAUGGGAGAAGAACCAGGCUGAGAAGAUGGCUGUGUUGCAUGCAUAUUUGCUUUUUGCACCAUGUCGCUCCUCCCCAACUCAGGUGUCACCCCAUGGACCUUGCCCAGCUCAGCCUCCACCUGCACCGCUGGACACGAGAAGGGAUGAGUCCCAUUUGGUCCAUCUUCACCGUCCUCAAGGCUGGUGAGGGGGGCUGCAGGCUCCCCAUGCCCCUGCCAGAAACGUGCCCUCUGACCAGCUGAGGGAUGUCUCACCCGCUGCUGAGGCACCAGCUGCUGAGCGCCUGGAGAUGCACGCUGGUCAAGAGGCCAAACCUCCAAAACUACCCCUGAGUAUUUUGAGUGAAGUUACUCCGAGGAGAUGAAGCUCUGCUCUCAGGUGGCAUUUAACCGUAAUAGCAAGGGGCUUUGGAGACCUGAUUUUGUUCCUGGCCCUGCCAUUUAUCUUCUGCACAGCCUUGGGCAAGUCCUUUCCCUUCUCCCUGCCUGCCCUUCCCCACACAUCCCUAUUCUGAGUUAAUGGCAGUAGAGAUGACUUAUGGCAAUGAUGGGGUUGGUUGGGUCUACAUUUUGUGAGUACAUAAACAGCAACUGCAGAAAGGCUUAACUUUUGUUUUAAAGAUUCUGCUUGGCCAGAUCUAGUGUUAACUAGAGAUGGCAAUGUGUGGUAUGUUGAGGUUUCUCCACUUGUACUCUCUCCUUACCUUUGCUGGAAAAUUGAGUCUCAUCAGCUGGGGAACAGAAACAAGAGGACAUGGGAAGUCCCAACCUGUCAAUGCAACUAAAGCAUUAGUUAAAAAUGUUCGGAAACCCAUGCAGAGAGUCAAAAUAAACCCCAGCUUAUCUCUCUGCUUGCUUUAGAC
Anser brachyrhynchus (Pink-footed goose) is the source of this 1897-nucleotide long non-coding RNA. NCBI's taxonomy places the organism in Eukaryota, Metazoa, Chordata, Aves, Anseriformes, Anatidae. The record is from Ensembl.